UCCGCUUUGAAUCGAGUAUAAAGAGCGCUCGAAACGAAGUGAACAGUCGUUUCCGUAAGUAAACACCAAAGGUAUCAUCAUGAAGAUUGCCUGCCUAGUUGCCCUCCUGAUUACUUGCGUUGUCAUGGUUACCAUGCCAGUAACUGAAGCCCAACCCGACCGUUGCCAUUGCAGUAGCGGAUCGUGUCGUUACGGAACCAGUGACUCCGGCCCGUGUCCAUACAACUCAUAUCUGAGGAAUUGCUGUAUAUAUUAUAGGGGCCAUUAAAGCACACAGACCACAUUGGCAUUCAUAUGUUUUGGUUAGGUUGAAUCAAUAAAACAGCGAAAUUGUU
Dreissena polymorpha is the source of this 335-nucleotide long non-coding RNA. RefSeq lists it as uncharacterized. The record is from RefSeq and is a predicted model, not a curated record. The transcript is spliced from 3 exons. Lineage: Eukaryota; Metazoa; Mollusca; Bivalvia; Myida; Dreissenidae.